UCUUGAUUGCAAUAGCUACAUCCUGCCCAGAAGAUGUAAUUUUGCUGGCCUUCUGUCUUCUGGUUCAUUCAUCCUUUCUGUCCCCUCUCCUAUAAUGUUGUUCCUUGAGCCUUAGAAUUAGGUGGCAUUAAUGUGCUCUUUAGGACCGAACACUCAACCUCUCUCACUGUCCGUCAGCACCUUGAGCAGCCAUGGGUCUCUGCUCUCACAGCUACUCUGUGCUGAUUGAAGCUUCGCUGAGUAAGGCCGAGUAGAGCCUUUGUCGGGACCAACAGAAGGCACUGCUUGGAAGAAAGGAUAAACAUCUCUAAACCAACAACUAAGACCACAAUCAGUGUAGUGUUUCUCCAGAACUGCCAUCAAAAACCAGGCCAACGCGACCACAGAGAAUGUGGAGUCCCUGCCAGUCCUUUGCUGACCUCCAGUACUGUUAGAAAAAAAAAAAUGAAAAAAGAAAGAAAGAAAAUUAGCUGAACAGAGUCAACAUUCACUUCCAUAACCAGCUUUCCUAGGAUGUUAUGUAGGAACCGUGCAUCUUCUUAUUCACUUAAGCACGUUACAGUGCUCAGACUCAGCCCUGACUACAGCCGUUCACCUCCCCAUUAGAGUGACCCCCUCCUCCCACCCAGCUUCUUCCCUACUGUAGGGGCCCAUACUCAUUGAAAAGAGCUGUAUUG
Molecule: long non-coding RNA, 677 nt
Organism: Mastomys coucha (southern multimammate mouse)
Lineage: Eukaryota; Metazoa; Chordata; Mammalia; Rodentia; Muridae
Exons: 3
Source: RefSeq, a predicted model, not a curated record